AUUGAACGCUGGCGGCAUGCUUUACACAUGCAAGUCGAACGGUAACAGGCCGCAAGGUGCUGACGAGUGGCGAACGGGUGAGUAAUGCAUCGGAACGUGCCCAGUCGUGGGGGAUAACUACUCGAAAGAGUAGCUAAUACCGCAUACGAUCUAUGGAUGAAAGCGGGGGACCGUAAGGCCUCGCGCGAUUGGAGCGGCCGAUGUCAGAUUAGGUAGUUGGUGGGGUAAAGGCUCACCAAGCCAACGAUCUGUAGCUGGUCUGAGAGGACGACCAGCCACACUGGGACUGAGACACGGCCCAGACUCCUACGGGAGGCAGCAGUGGGGAAUUUUGGACAAUGGGCGCAAGCCUGAUCCAGCAAUGCCGCGUGCAGGAAGAAGGCCUUCGGGUUGUAAACUGCUUUUGUACGGAACAAAACGGCUCUGGUUAAUACCCGGGGCUAAUGACGGUACCGUAAGAAUAAGCACCGGCUAACUACGUG
This 482-nucleotide ribosomal RNA is filed under the name uncultured bacterium. RNAcentral describes it as "partial 16S ribosomal RNA". It matches the Rfam family "Bacterial small subunit ribosomal RNA", at positions 30 to 507 of the family's 1533-position model. The record is from RNAcentral.